CCAUACCCCCUCUCCCGCUGACGCCCGGACCGGCGUGUCAUCCCCGACCCCGAGCCGGUGUCCACCUCCAUGGCGGAGGCCGGCCCGAGCACCGCCUCCCCGUGUAGCCCCGCGCGCCUCUCGAUCCCUGCAUACCGCGCCUCGACCCGAUUUCGCAGCCCUAUUAACCCCUCGAAUCCGAGCUCCAAUUCCUUGCGGUGCCGCUGCCGCCACCGCCACAGCUCCGACCGAGCCCAGCCGACGCCAGAGACCACCACAGCCUUCUCCGAGGAGAGCAACGGAACCGCCUAGUCAAGCCGAGCCUCUCGAAUUCGAGCUCGAGCACUCGCCGGCACCGCUACAGCUCCGACAGAGCCCAGCCGACGCCAGAGAACACCACCGACGUCUCCCAGGAGAGAAACGGAACGGCCGACUCAAGGCAAAUCUCUUAGACGCCUUCCCGAGCAGCAAGUAUCACCGGAGCCAGCUCAGCGACAAGCCCCAAAGCCGCCGGCGCCGCCUGAACGCCUCUGAUCCAAUAGAUCAAAACGUUCUACAUAUAUGUUGUUGAGAAACUUGCACAGCAUCUUGGUAUGGAUGAUCCUUCAAAACUUUGCCUUACACGCACAUCCCGCAUUUACCGCAACCGAAACAUCAAUACAUCAAGUAUAGAAGUAUUGAUCAUCUCUCAGACAUGUUACAUUUACAUAAGCCCAAUCAGAUGUAUGACAUUUUAUAUUAUGAGACACUGGACAUUCCUUUGCCAGAACUGCAAGGUCUGAUAACAUUGAGAGUUGGGCCCCGUUCGGGAAUACUCCGCUCCAGGCUCCGCUCCGGGAGCGGACGGAGCUCUAGUACAAAAUCUGGGAGCCAGCAAACCGCCGCUCCGCAGAUUCUAGGAGCUGGUGAAUUCCUGAACGCGGCCUUGCUUUUCACCAAGCUACACACAAUGAGGUGCUGUUUCACGUUAUAUGAUUGCCAAAAGGCAGUACGUUUUCUGAUUUGAUUGACAACUUAAAAUCAAAGGUUGAGCUAUCUCAAAAUGAUGCUGAACUUAGCUAUUUCAGGUCAACAAUAACAAGAUAUGGAAGGUGUACCAGCCAACUGAGAAAAUAGAUGCAGUUCAUGAUCCAAACCUCUUCAUGUUGAGGAGCAGGUAGAAUGUGCAUUCGUGAAAGAUAACACUGUUUGACGAAUUCGUGGGGAACGCGGUGCGGGAGUUGCUCCGUCCCGAGGGAGGCACGACGGCAGGCGGGUUGAACGUUGGCCACAGCGUAGUGUGAGCCGGGAGAGUUGCCGUCAACCUGGUCUCAGGGCGGGCAGGAACUAAUAGUUGGAUGCCAGCAACAAACUGCGCCACCAUUACUCCCUCCAGCCAUCUGUGCCGGUGCCGCUUCUCCUCAAAUACAAGCAAAGAAGCGCGCGCCGGUUCAUCGGAGACAGAGAAGGGAUGUUCCGGUGCAGUACAUGAAGUGUCUGUUCCGCACGGUGCAGUUCCUGAACGGAAAGGAGACACUGAACGGAAGGACAUACACUGACAAUUGUUAUGUGAAGAAGAGACUGGUGAGGUUGUUGAUGUCUGUGUGGUUCCCCAUGAAACUGGUUAUGUUGGAUUUGCUAUGGCUGAAGCUUCUCGCAAGGCAAUGUGUGAUGCCAUUUGCAACCUUCUUGUUGAGCAACCUGAAACAGGAGUAACUCCAUUAAUCAUUAUGUAGGCAAUAUUAUGGUAGCUGCAGGAGUGGGCGGUGCUCGGCUGCCGACAGGCGCUGAUGACGGUGGCCGAGUUGGACCCCGUCAGGGACAGGGCGCGCAUGUACGUCGAGGUGCUCCAGGGCAGCGCGUGAGGCAGUGAGAAGGUCGUGCUGUAUGAGGUGGGGCGCAAGGAGACCACAUGUAUUACUUCCUGAAAAUCGCGAGAUCCAACCCUGUCGUGGCGUUUUUCCACUCAACCGUUCAAAUUAUACUGUUUUUAUACUGAGUUUCAGGUUCGUUUGUACCCGACUACAACUUCAGAGAAGUGAUCAUGUAUUUCUUGUCUUAUCAGAUUAUAUUGUGCAGAUGUAUGUCUUGUUUUUUUUUUUUUUUGCGGGGCAGAUGUAUGUCUUGUUGAUUAGUAGUAGUAUCAUUCAGAAGCUUUCUAAAGAUGAAUAGAUCGGAAGUUUUCUCCAAAAAAAUGGGUUGGCCUUGCUGACUUGCCCCACUUGCCACCACUGUACCACUGUAGUAUCUGAGAUGUUUUGCUGUUCAGCCAAUAAUUACCACCUAUGUAAAGUUUACAGAGGGAGUAAUUAAUUAGAUCUAUUCUAUUAGCCAAUAUUUCUA
Molecule: non-coding RNA, 2301 nt
Organism: Aegilops tauschii subsp. strangulata
Lineage: Eukaryota; Viridiplantae; Streptophyta; Magnoliopsida; Poales; Poaceae
Source: RefSeq, a predicted model, not a curated record